GAUGGUUCUCGGGUUAUGCAACCUGGAAUCUGGCUCCCUGCUCUCUGGUUCUGGGUGUAUCACUUGAGAAACACA
Molecule: non-coding RNA, 75 nt
Organism: Myotis davidii
Lineage: Eukaryota; Metazoa; Chordata; Mammalia; Chiroptera; Vespertilionidae
Source: Rfam